Molecule: ribosomal RNA, 367 nt
Filed under: uncultured eukaryote
Lineage: Eukaryota
Description: SSU rRNA
Rfam family: Eukaryotic small subunit ribosomal RNA
Source: RNAcentral
AGCUCCAAUAGCGUAUAUUAAAGUUGUUGCAGUUAAAAAGCUCGUAGUUGAACUUCUGAAUGUUGCGACAGUGGCUUCGGUCGUUGUAAUGGCAUUCAUCCGUCUGAGAACUAUAUUCGACCUUCACUGGUCGGUGUAGGGAUCAGACAUUUUACUUUGAAAAAUUAGAGUGUUCCAGGCAGGCAAUCGCCUUGAAUACACAAGCAUGGAAUAAUGGAAUAGGACUAUGGUUCAUUUUAUUGGUUAUUGGAUCAUAGUAAUGAUUAACAGGGACAGUUGGGGGCAUUAGUAUUUAAUUGUCAGAGGUGAAAUUCUUGGAUUUAUUAAAGACUAACUUAUGCGAAAGCAUUUGCCAAGGAUGUUUUCA